This 968-nucleotide unclassified non-coding RNA is filed under the name Hevea brasiliensis (rubber tree). Lineage: Eukaryota; Viridiplantae; Streptophyta; Magnoliopsida; Malpighiales; Euphorbiaceae. The record is from RNAcentral.
AUAAUGGGAAUUUCUGCUUCCAGAUGCUCCAUAUCUUGAACCUUAAUAUUUGUAAAAGUAAGAUGUUUGAAAAAUAAGCUUAACUCAGUUAAUUCUUGCCAAACUGUAUUCGGAAGGAGCUCAUGAAAUGCAAUGGGUAUAACCUCUGCAUAAAUACAUGACAAUCAUGGCUCUUCAUGCCAAAAUGCUUGCACUUCUGCAUAUCAACACACCUUUCUAGGUGGACACAUACCCAUAUGGAAACUUAAGGUUUUUUACCCAUUCACAUAUAACAUGCCUCUGCUGUUUAUCAAGAACAUAGCAAGCCUUAGGAUAUUUACCCAUUUGCACAUUUCUCUCCAAUUCUUUUCUACGAUAUAAAUGUGCCAUAUCUUCCCUAAAUUUUGCAUUAUCCUUUGUUUUCCCUUCUAUAUUCAUCGUGUUGAAAGUAUUUUCAAAGAUAUUUUUCUUGAUGUCCAUGACAUCUAAGUUAUUUCGAAUGAGAAUGAAAGACCAAUAUGGUAAAUUCCAAAAAUAUGCUCUUUUUCUGCCAACCUGUGUUUCUGGUUAUGACAGAAUUGACUGCUUCACCAUCAAUGUCUGUUACUCUCCUUAACCCCAAAUCCUCUAUCUGCAAAAAAAUGUCUUCACUGCUUAGAAUUGGAGACUCAAAUAUGCAUACUUUUCCUUUAAGGAAAUUUACCUUGUUCUAUCUAAAUAGAUGGUUAUCUGAAAGAAACUUACAGUGAUUGUCAAACCAACUAAUUUUCUCUCCAUGACUCAGUGAAAAUGCAUCUGAAUGAUCCAUACAGUAAGGGCACGCUAAUCUCCCUGCGGUGCUCCACCCAGCAGUGUUAUCAAAGGCGACAGAGGAGCCCAGGUGAGGCGUCAGGCGUGGCGAGGCGCCCCUCUGUCGCCUCAACUGGAACGCCUGACUCGGCUUGGAGGAGGCGACGCCUUCGGACGGAGAGGCGAGAGGCGAGGCAGGC